GAACCCGCUCCGGCGUGGUCGCACAGCGUUCGCACAGACCUGAGGAACGGUCCGCAGCGCAGACGGAGGAGGCGUGUCGUCUCCGAGUAAACAAGUCGACAGCAAAGCGAUUCACCUUUUGAACCAGCGUCCGAGAAGAAUUGAACUGGGCCAAGACGGCUUCAACCGCCACACUGACGGCACUGACGAGAGCUGGAGCAGAAACAAAAGUGCACCGUUAAAGUUAUUUUUUUUU
Hippocampus zosterae (dwarf seahorse) is the source of this 235-nucleotide long non-coding RNA. RefSeq lists it as uncharacterized. The transcript is spliced from 2 exons. The record is from RefSeq and is a predicted model, not a curated record. NCBI's taxonomy places the organism in Eukaryota, Metazoa, Chordata, Actinopteri, Syngnathiformes, Syngnathidae.